Molecule: long non-coding RNA, 2402 nt
Organism: Mustela erminea (ermine)
Lineage: Eukaryota; Metazoa; Chordata; Mammalia; Carnivora; Mustelidae
Exons: 2
Source: RefSeq, a predicted model, not a curated record
GGAAGGGAGGGAGAAAAGGAGGGAGAUAAGGAGAGAGGCAGGGAGGGAGGAAAUAAACCUGGAAGGGACUUUUGUUAGGAAUGUAUCAGCCAGGGUUCUCCAUAGAAACAGAACCAGUGGGACUGUAUGUAUAUAUACACAUAACCAAAACAGGUGUGUGGGUGUGUGUGUGUGUGUGCAUGAGAGAGAGAGAGAGAGAGAGAGAGAGAGAGAGGAGAAGAGAGAUUUAUUUUAAGGAAUUGGCCUAUAGGAAUGUAGGGGUUGACAAGUCUAAAAUCCACAGGGCAGGCCAGCAGGCUGCUAACUUAGGCAAGAGUUGAUGCUAUUUUUGCUCUUUUCGACCUUAAACUGUUUGGAUAAGGCCCAUCUAUGUGUUAGCUGCAUCCAUAAAAUACCCUCAUGGCAAUACCUGAGUACUAUAGUCUAGCUGGGUUGACAUACCAAUCUAACCAUCAUAAGGGAUUUGAGCCAUUGACAGUUACUAGAAAAAAGGAUAAUUGUACGUUACGGGUUAGAGCCAUAGGAUUACUAUUACUAUACUGAACAGGACUGCAGAGCAACCCACAUGUAUAACCAGUUUUUAAUGGAAAACUAACUAUAUGAGGUGCAUAAUAAUGAACAUCGUGGGUCAAAAGUGUAGCUUUCAUUUUGGUGAGAAAAUACAAGACUUGCCAUGACUACAGUAAAGAAUCUUCAUCUGUGUAGGUUUUUAUUUAUCAAUGGAUGGAAUCCUUCCACCUUGGUAUCAAGUGAAACAAGCAAGCCAGAGCUCUUAAAUAUUCACUGAAGGAGGGGUCAGGGUGUGUGUGGAUCCAGGUGGAAGAGAGGUGGUUUCCUACUUUUGGCUCUCUUCUCUGAAAAUUUCCUUUGAGCCCAAAUGGUCAACAUAAUAACUUAUUUCCAUCUUUCUGCAGGGGCUUAUUUUGCCAGCGUGAUUCCUAAUACUUUACUAUACUUGAUGAACUUACUGAGAGACUAUAUUUAUCUCCAUUCUAUCCAUGAAAGUCCCAGAUGUUGGGGACUUGAACUUAACAAGGCUUAGCCUAAUAGAGUGUUCUUCACCUUGGCAGAAAAAAGGAAGCUGUCGGGUUGGGAGAAGACCACACAUGUGAUUAAACUUCCCUAGUUCCCACCUUUCCUUCAUACCUUCACUUGAUUCAUGGAUGAUUCCAGUUGGCUCUACCUCCAGAACCCCAUCUGAGUCUGAGUGCUUCUCACCAUCUCUUUUGUGAUGUCGUCUGGCCCCUCCUUUGGAUCACCCUCCCUCUAUUCUUAACCCCAACAGUCCAUUCUUGACCCAGGAGCAAGAGUGAUGAUCUACAGCAUAGCCGGAUCAUGUCAAGUCCCUGCUUAAAAUUGAAUCCUAUUCAGGCUAUGAGUCGAGCAAGAAAAAUGAAACUUGAUUUUGGUCCUGUCACUCCUUGUUUCUCAAGUUGACCUGCUUUUAAAAACCUCAUAAUCACACAAUCAAAUUUACAAGUAAUAAAGUCCUUCCCGAUCGUCUGAUCCAAUUCCAGAAUCUAGAGGUACGGUAACCAAGACCCAAGGAAAGCAAAGUGACUUCACUUACAGAUUGAACAAUUAAACAGAAAUAUUUAAAACUUAAAAGUAAGUUUAAUUUGUCCAACAAUCCUUCCAUUUGCUUAGUUACAGGCUAUCUAAGCAGUUUUUAUUCUCUGAAAUAAUGGAAUGCCUGCCACUUUUGUGCUUCUUGUUUCUUUAGUCAAAGCAGAAAAAUUAACUCCUCCAACACUCACGCGUAACAUGUUGAUUUAUGGAUGAUUCAUCUCAAAAUUACCUUCCCAUGUAUCUGUUUAAAUUAGCUUUGACAAAGGUAAAGACAAGAACCAAAAUAAAUCUUUGGCAGAGUCAGAGAGAGAAGAAAACAAUGUAAAUAACUUAAAAAUAAAUUAUUGUUUUAAAACCGUUUGAGAACUUAGGGAGCGAUGGAUGGGAGGGAGUUGAAAGAUCGUGAGUAGACAGUGACGUUGGGACAGUCAGGCGGUGUCUCUUUCAUGUUGGGGCUCCUUUGAGCUUGUGGAUGUUGUGAUGAUUAUUGGGACAUGAGAUAUAAAACAGGACUUUUACCAACAAACUUGGAUACGUGAUUACCCUAUUCUUUAAGGAGAUUAACCCAGCAGAAACUUAUGAGGCCGCCUGGACAGAUCACGGAUUGGUAUGUCUCUCAAACAUACCAACUAAAGAGAGUGGGGGCCCACACAUGCCCAGAAGCAGCUCUCCUGUUGGGACACGUGGCAGAAGUGGACAGUAACUUGCUAUGUGGUCUCCCCAUCCACCUGUGUCUGGACCAAAGCUGCCCAUCUGUCCACUGUGUCCUGUCCCGUGGGGCAUCUUCUGUUUCCAAAUCUAUGGCAUGAGUACAUUUCUAAACAGUAAAAAAA